This 74-nucleotide transfer RNA is filed under the name Loxodonta africana (African savanna elephant). It matches the Rfam family "tRNA". Rfam says of the family: Transfer RNA (tRNA) molecules are approximately 80 nucleotides in length. Their secondary structure includes four short double-helical elements and three loops (D, anti-codon, and T loops). Lineage: Eukaryota; Metazoa; Chordata; Mammalia; Proboscidea; Elephantidae. The record is from Rfam by way of RNAcentral.
UGUGUUGUAAAUCAGUUGGUCAAAGUGCCUGUCUAGUAAACAGGAUAUCCUGGGUUCGACUCCCAGCGGUGCCU